AUCGCUUCUCGGCCUAUGGCUAAGAUCAAAGUGUAGUAUCUGUUCUUAUCAGCUUAAUAUCUGAUACGCCCCGCAUGCGGAGCCAGUAUAUUAAACUGAUUUUUGGAAAUUGACGGGAGUCAGGGGCUUGCUCCGUUCCUGUCGCGGGUUGGCCUUGUAUUGCAGUACCGCAAGGAUCGGCCCAAUAAUA
Small nuclear RNA from Oryctes borbonicus, 190 nucleotides. It matches the Rfam family "U2 spliceosomal RNA". From Rfam's summary of the family: U2 is a small nuclear RNA (snRNA) component of the spliceosome (involved in pre-mRNA splicing). Complementary binding between U2 snRNA (in an area lying towards the 5' end but 3' to hairpin I) and the branchpoint sequence (BPS) of the intron results the bulging out of an unpaired adenosine, on the BPS, which initiates a nucleophilic attack at the intronic 5' splice site, thus starting the first of two transesterification reactions that mediate splicing. The record is from Rfam. NCBI's taxonomy places the organism in Eukaryota, Metazoa, Arthropoda, Insecta, Coleoptera, Scarabaeidae.